Molecule: long non-coding RNA, 4739 nt
Organism: Zea mays
Lineage: Eukaryota; Viridiplantae; Streptophyta; Magnoliopsida; Poales; Poaceae
Exons: 2
Source: RefSeq, a predicted model, not a curated record
UUUAAGAAACAGACCGGAAUCUUCGAGCACCAUGCUCACUAAACAUGAUUAUGAACUUGCCAUCCAGUUGCACGCACACGCGAGACAAAGUCACAACAACACAAGCACACAAUCCAAGAGAAGAGCACAAAAGACGGCGUGACAGAGUUACAACUCACAGCACGAGCUCAAAUCUUUAACUAGCAAAGCAAUGGCGGUGUUGUAAAAUGUUCAAGGGUUGCUUGGUGUUGAGCUCCAUGCGCCAAGGGGUCCCUUUUAUAGCCUCAAGGGAGCUAGGAGCCGUCGGAGCUCCAUUUGGAAGGCCCUGGUUGCCUUCUGCCUGUGGGCGCAAUGGACAGUCUAGUGCACCACCGAACAAUGAAAAGUGCACAAUUUCCUUCCUUAUUCGGUGAAGACGAUCAUUGCCAGCCACUGGUCCCAUGACACACCGGACAGUCCGGUGUUGCCUGCUGACCGUUGGCUGAGCCACGUGUCGCCCGCUGAUCGUGCGGUCGACCGUUGGCUAGGUGAGCGGCUGGCACACCGGACAGUCCAUUGAAUUAUAGCCGCGGCGCCCAGUGUUUUUCUUGAGAGCGGCUAGUUCGCUGAGCGCGCCAGUGUCCGGUGCACACCGAACACUCUGGUGCAUCAUAGGCUGGUGCAAGUUUGGCUGAACUUAGCCAACUUUUCCCUUUCAAUUUCUCUCGAUUGCAGAAGAUUCCUAGCACUUAAUAGAACAUAGUUAGUACCUAAAACAAUUUACUAAGUGCUAGAGUCAUACCUUUGUUUCUCUAAUUUUCUUUUCUUUAACUCUGCGCUCAUAUUAGUAAAACAAAAUGUGUUGAGCAUCUAAUCACCAAAACACUGUAGAAAUGGCCCAAGGGCACAUUUCCCUUUUAGCACCAACCUGCUGCCACAAAUUUCUCUGCCUCCAAAGCUCUUCUGUUUUGUUCAAGUGUUUUCGCAAAGCUUUGACAAUCUAUCAAUGGCUAGGGUUCGUUCAACUACCAAAUUAGUUGUUGAGGGUGAAGCACCAGAUACUGUUGAGACAGUCCCUAAUUCUGAUGUAAUGAGGGCAUCGGGUACAACUGAGCCAAAGGUCAACGAGGCGGGGGAUGCUCCAGAGGGGAGUGGUUCUGAUAUUGAAGCUAGCAGUGAUGAAGACGAUCACAACAUACUUUGGCCUAACAAGCCGAGUCACAUUGACUUUGGUGAGUCCACCGUGAAACUCGAAGAUCUUGAUGUCUGAAAAGGCUUGGGUAUAUUGGUGUGAAAGAGGAUGAUAUGGUUAGAUUUGCUGGUAGCAAAACCAUUCCAGAGCCGAAGAGUGACGAAAUGGUUGUGUUUAGAAGCUUCUUCCUGGUCGGGAUUCGAUUUGUGAUGUGUGACAUGAUUGUCGAAAUCCUGAAAAAGUUUGAAAUAUUCAUAAAUCAACUAACACCAAAUGCAAUUGUUAGACUUAGUAUUUACAUGUGGGUCUUGAGGAUCCAAGGCAUGAGUGCAAAUGUUGAAUGUUUUUGUAGAGUUCAUGAGCUCCAUUAUCAGACAAAGGUAAGGCCAUUAGACAAACUGCAUAACUACUUUGGGUGCUACAACUUUGCGUAUCAAAUGGAUGUUAAAGCUCAAGUGUUGGGAUAUCGUACGAAGUGGCCGACGGGCUGGACCAAAGAGUGGUUUUAUAUGAAGGCUAACUGUAAGGGCAUGGAGAAGUUCAAAGAGAUUAUAAUGAGUCAUAUGAGGUUAAACUUUGGCUUGACGAGGCCACUUUGCAACAAGAUUUUGGGCUCAUUAUCGCAACUAGCCUAGAUUACCUUUAGCACCGUGAUCGAGCAUAUUAGUACUCGAGAUUUGGUACAAUAAUUCCUUAUGAACAAGGUAUUCCCAACACUGGCUGGUUAGGGGAUGUUGAAGCUGUGGGAGGGGUUGACAAAGGGACCCUCAUGAGAUUGCCAUAUCGGUUGAAGGAACAAGCUAUGUUCAAGGGCCCGUGUGCUAGGUGGCUGAAGAUGAUUGAAAUGAUGUGCAAUGAAAUUCUUGGUAAUUUUACGAAGAAGGUAGACCAGUUAAUGAAUGCAGCCUUCGGAAGUCGGGGAAAGCAAAGGUUGAACAGAGUCAUGGAUGCUUUGAAAUUUGAGUAUCUGGAUUGCCCGAAGAUUUUAGAAGAAGAUGCUAUUGGUGUGAAAAGAAAAUGAAUGUUAGCAUUAUGAAAAGGCAAGCAAUAAGGUCUAUGGAAGAGAGGAAGAAGAAAAAAUCAGUUGUAAAGCCGAAGACUAAAAAGGCUAAGGAAGGGGAGUCUUCUCACUCGAGAACAAUAUCGACUCCUUUGAAGAAGCAAAAACUAGCGAAGCCUGAUCGCGCUAGUAAGAAGUCUUUAGAGUUAUCAAAGAAGGUUACUGAGACUUUGAUGACUCCGUCUCUUGGGGCUACGGAGAUACUAAAGGUAAUGAUGUGACCCUUACCUUUCUCUACAUUGAGUUCCUUGGGAUCAAACCUGACUAGCCUAUUGUUGACGAUGAAGGGCAAGAAUGUCGAAGAAGAGAUAGGUAAAGCUCCUUCAGAUGUGGCCAUAGAAGAAUCGACAAGAACACAGGCCAAAGAAGCAACGUAGAAAAAACACUGGAUAAAGACAGUGAUGAGGGAAGUUUUACAAAACUCCCCCAGCAAAAGAGAAGAAGAUUUCAAACGUGAGGGAAGACAUUGAAGGUGCUGAAACGGAGCAAAAAUGCCAAAGCAAGUGGAGGUGCCGAAGCAACCACCAUGGCUUCUAUUGAUAGAAUAAUCGAAGAGUUGAGGUCUAAAAAAGCAAAUGAGGAGGUAGUAAUGGUAGCAAAGGUCGCAAAAAAUAAAAAGGUUGGAGCAAAGGUUUUGCCUACAAAAGAGGUCGAAGCUGGAAAUUCUUCGAGUAAAGACAAAACCUUCGACUUGAGACAUUUGGUUGCUGGGGAUUUAAGUGUUGAAUAUAUUUUUGAAUUAAGGGAAUUUGAUAUUGCGGGUGGGUAUGAACCCGAUGCAAUUCUUUUUAGUGGUGUUGAUGACGAUGUGUUGGAGUGUGUACCUGACCGCGAUGGAGCUAAGUUGUUAAUACUUUGACGAAGUCUAUUGGAUUUUCGAAGCUAGAAAGUGAAUUGAGCGGUAUAAGGAAACAACAUAUCGUCGAAAGUUUAAUUUAUUCAAACAUUAAGGUAGGGUUCAUUUAUGCAACAUUUUUUGUUUAUUAAAUAAUAAGAGUAAAAUGACUAAAACCUUUUUGUCCUUCGGAAAUAUGUAGAGUUUUUUUAUGAGCAAAGCUUGAAAGCUUCAACAGGCUUUGGAAGAUCAUAAGAACGAGUUUAUUAUUUCUGACUUAUAACUAAGAUUGAAACUCUUCAAGAAUUGAUCAAGGAAAAGAUGCUAUAGUGCAAUCACUAAGUGCUGAUUUAACCGAAGCUCAAAAAUCCAAUGAAGAUAUAGAAGCAGAGAAAUAACUCAACGAACAAAAGAUUGCAAGUCAAGAUAAAUAUAUCCAAGAAUCAAGAGAUUAGAUGGAUAAGAUUAUGACAAAUCAUGCCGAUGGCGUCUCACGACUUCAACAUGAACUCAACAAAGAAUUAGGUAUGCUCAUUUAUAAAGAGGAGCAUAGGGGUCGUACCAUCAUGAUCCUCCCCAACAAUCAUUACUUGGCGACAAAACAACACCUCUUGAGAUCACGGUGCGGUGGCCGAGUAGCAUCCCUGAGCACACCUUGUCUUUCGUAAGCCCGUUGGUAAACCACGAAGGCCCAAUCAACCCGAGCGAAAACGUAUAUAGCACCCAAACGAGAAUGGUUCGUGUCCAACAUCCUCGGAUGCCCGAAGGUCUCAGCCUCCUUCGGAUCAUGAACCACAAAGAUCCUCUGAAGGAACACUUUGUUUCCUCCGAAGGCUCGGGGGGGCUACUAUCAGGGGUAAUAACCCCCAAGGACCCAAAGCUCAUCGGUCCAGGAAAGGAAAAAGCAUGCCCAAACCUGCCUAGACAAAACCCACCCUACUCUGGCAGACAGAGGCAAGCCAUGGGUACCCACCCCUCCCCAGCUUCGACGUAAACCAUAAAUGGGUCGAACAUGCCUGAAGCUGAUUCCUAUGGUCAAGCGAGACACACCUAGCUCACAGCCGGAUUGCACCCAUAUCAAGACGAACCAUCCCAUGGACAAGGUCGAUCCUCCACAUCACUUUCAACCUUAGAAGCCCGCCAAGGAAGAAUGGAGGUACGAAUAAACCACAUAGUGUUAUCUGCCCUGCAACGCCUACUCUAGCUUAGGCCUCCAGCUGAGGUCAGGAGAACCCCCAACCUCCAUGGCAAGGUCUGACGCACACUUUGCAACCCACAAACCUCACAUACGCAACCUCGCCAAGGAAGUGAACAAAGCUGCAAACCCCGAUGGCAGGCAACAUCAGUAGAGAAAGAAGCUUGACCAUCUCAUAGGGAGAGGAGACCCCUAACAAGAAAGGAGAGACAACACAGAAAGUACGAUAUGAACUCUCACACCUCACAUAGACUUGGAAACUCUCUUUCUUACCCGUUUGUAACUCCCUACUACAAACAAUCAGGUGUUGGUAGCGCGAGUCACCGAAGACUGAAGUAGGGAAAAAUUCAAUUUGAACAUGUAUAACCUUUGCGUCCACCGCGCACACCAUCCAGACCUAAAACAUGCAUACACAAAUUUACUGGUUGGUGCUUAUUCGUAACACCGGCAAUGAUCAAUUGUGAAAUAUUGAGCUUCUACUUAUGAAUUUCGCAUCGUA